RNAcentral lists this long non-coding RNA (208 nucleotides) under Hordeum vulgare. RNAcentral's name for it is "long non-coding RNA (HVUL_LNC009676)". The record is from RNAcentral. Lineage: Eukaryota; Viridiplantae; Streptophyta; Magnoliopsida; Poales; Poaceae.
UAGCGUAUCAUCCUCCUAAAUGACAUAAUAAGCUCGAAAUAAGAAAACUAUUGUAAUCAUCCUCUUCCUCUUCCUAUCCUUCUUCUUCUUCUUCUUCUUCUCCGCCUCCUCCUUCUUCUCCUACUUCUUCUCCUUCUACUUAUUCUCCUCUCCUCCUCCUCCUUCUUAUUCUUCUUCUUCUUCUUCUUCUUCUUCUUCUUCUUCUUCU